UCUCAGUGAUGAACAAAUAUGAUGACGAGUCCGAUCAAUCCAUUCGUUUUUUUAACCCGUGACGACAAAUCGAGGCAUUUGUCUGAGAGAA
Small nucleolar RNA from Camellia sinensis, 91 nucleotides. Lineage: Eukaryota; Viridiplantae; Streptophyta; Magnoliopsida; Ericales; Theaceae. The record is from RefSeq and is a predicted model, not a curated record.